CGGGGUGUAGCGCAGCGGCUAGCGCGCUGGCUUCGGGUGCCAGAGGUCGAGGGUUCAAAUCCCUCCACCCCGACCA
This 76-nucleotide transfer RNA is filed under the name Candidatus Berkelbacteria bacterium. Its description in RNAcentral is "tRNA-Pro". It matches the Rfam family "tRNA". Rfam says of the family: Transfer RNA (tRNA) molecules are approximately 80 nucleotides in length. The record is from RNAcentral. Lineage: Bacteria; Candidatus Berkelbacteria.